ACUCAAAUGAAUAGACGGGGACCCGCACAAGCGGUGGAGCGUGUUGUUUAAUUCGAUGGUAAACGUAGAACCUUACCCAGGUUUGACAUCCUUGGAAUUUUGCCGAAAGGCGAGAGUGCUUUAUUGAGCCAAGUGACAGAUGAUGCAUGGCCGUCGUCAGCUCGUGUCGUGAGAUGUUAGGUUAAGUCCUUCAACGAGCGCAACCCUUUUGGUCUGUUGUAUUUCUCAGGCCAGACUGCCCUGGUAACAGGGAGGAAGGAGGGGAUGAGGUCAGGUCAGUAUUUCUCUUACAUCUGGGGCUACAAACACGCUACAAUGGCCGGUACAAAGGGCUGCCAAGUCGCGAGACGGAGCAAAUCCCAUCAAAGCCGGUCUCAGUUCAGAUUGCAGGCUGAAACUCGCCUGCAUGAAGUCGGAAUCGCUAGUAACGGUAGGUCAGCUAUACUACCGUGAAUACGUUCCCGGGUCUUGCACACACCGCCCGU
This 485-nucleotide ribosomal RNA is filed under the name uncultured bacterium. Its description in RNAcentral is "partial 16S ribosomal RNA". It matches the Rfam family "Bacterial small subunit ribosomal RNA", at positions 899 to 1397 of the family's 1533-position model. The record is from RNAcentral.